CACGGACCAAGGAGUCUAACAUGUACGCGAGUCAUUGGGAUCAGCGAUACCUAAAGGCGUAAUGAAAGUGAAGGUCGGCCCUGGUUGUCGACCGAGGGAGGAUGGGCCGCGUCGCGAUGCGGCUCCGCACUCCCGGGGCGUCUCGUUCUCAUUGCGAGAAGAGGCGCACCCAGAGCGUACACGUUGGGACCCGAAAGAUGGUGAACUAUGCCUGGUCAGGACGAAGUCAGGGGAAACCCUGAUGGAGGUCCGUAGCGAUUCUGACGUGCAAAUCGAUCGUCGGAACUGGGUAUAGGGGCGAAAGACUAAUCGAACCAUCUAGUAGCUGGUUCCCUCCGAAGUUUCCCUCAGGAUAGCUGGCACUCGGCCGUUCCGCACGGAACGCGCGCGAGUCUCAUCUGGUAAAGCGAAUGAUUAGAGGCCUUGGGGCCGAAACGACCUCAACCUAUUCUCAAACUUUAAAUGGGUGAGAUCUCUGGCUUUCUUGAACUAUGAAGCCACGAGCAUCUCGGAUCAGAGUGCCAAGUGGGCCAUUUUUGGUAAGCAGA
This 548-nucleotide ribosomal RNA is filed under the name Cardiocondyla wroughtonii. RNAcentral's name for it is "partial large subunit ribosomal RNA". It matches the Rfam family "Eukaryotic large subunit ribosomal RNA", at positions 660 to 1148 of the family's 3401-position model. The record is from RNAcentral. Lineage: Eukaryota; Metazoa; Arthropoda; Insecta; Hymenoptera; Formicidae.